AUUGAACGCUGGCGGCAGGCCUAACACAUGCAAGUCGAGCGGAUGAAGGGAGCUUGCUCCUGGAUUCAGCGGCGGACGGGUGAGUAAUGCCUAGGAAUCUGCCUGGUAGUGGGGGAUAACGUCCGGACACGGGCGCUAAUACCGCAUACGUCCUGAGGGAGAAAGUGGGGGAUCUUCGGACCUCACGCUAUCAGAUGAGCCUAGGUCGGAUUAGCUAGUUGGUGGGGUAAAGGCCUACCAAGGCGACGAUCCGUAACUGGUCUGAGAGGAUGAUCAGUCACACUGGAACUGAGACACGGUCCAGACUCCUACGGGAGGCAGCAGUGGGGAAUAUUGGACAAUGGGCGAAAGCCUGAUCCAGCCAUGCCGCGUGUGUGAAGAAGGUCUUCGGAUUGUAAAGCACUUUAAGUUGGGAGGAAGGGCAGUAAGUUAAUACCGUGCUGUUUUGACGUUACCAACAGAAUAAGCACCGGCUAACUUCGUG
RNAcentral lists this ribosomal RNA (484 nucleotides) under uncultured bacterium. RNAcentral's name for it is "partial 16S ribosomal RNA". It matches the Rfam family "Bacterial small subunit ribosomal RNA", at positions 30 to 507 of the family's 1533-position model. The record is from RNAcentral.